CUCUUAUCCAGAGAGGCGGAGGGACUGGCCCUAUGAAGCUUCAGCAACAGACUGUUUGUACUGUGCUAAUUCCAGACUAGAUAAGAA
RNAcentral lists this non-coding RNA (87 nucleotides) under Terribacillus aidingensis. Its description in RNAcentral is "SAM-I sequence". It matches the Rfam family "SAM riboswitch aptamer (S box leader)". From Rfam's summary of the family: The SAM riboswitch is found upstream of a number of genes which code for proteins involved in methionine or cysteine biosynthesis in Gram-positive bacteria. The SAM riboswitch acts at the level of transcription termination control. Lineage: Bacteria; Bacillati; Bacillota; Bacilli; Caryophanales; Bacillaceae. The record is from Rfam by way of RNAcentral.